UCUGGCACAGGCUGGCUCGGUGCUGGUGGGGCUGACACGGAGGGAUCCAUCCUCCAUCAGCUCCUCCGCCCUUGAUCUGCUCUUGAUGGGACACUGAAGUGCUCUUGCUUCCCCAGGAGAUGCUGCUCACAGUGGUCAGAAAGCCAAACAGAUCCUAAGUGAGUCUGCCCCAACAUUACCUCCUGCUCAUCAGGUUGGUGCAGAGGACUGAUAGCUCUGGCAGAUCGGAGGGCUUGUUAUCAGAAAUAAAGCUUGUUUUAAGGCUGCAGAGCAAUGCAUGCCUUGACCUUCCUGUCUGAAUGCUGAAUGCCUUUGGCCAAAACCAGGUGCUCUGUUACUGUUCAGCGCUGAAUGCCCUCAGCCAGGCUCUGCUGU
Molecule: long non-coding RNA, 375 nt
Organism: Gallus gallus (chicken)
Lineage: Eukaryota; Metazoa; Chordata; Aves; Galliformes; Phasianidae
Source: Ensembl